Erinaceus europaeus (western European hedgehog) is the source of this 594-nucleotide long non-coding RNA. RefSeq lists it as uncharacterized. Lineage: Eukaryota; Metazoa; Chordata; Mammalia; Eulipotyphla; Erinaceidae. The record is from RefSeq and is a predicted model, not a curated record. The transcript has 2 exons.
UUUGUCGCCAUCAUUGAUCUGAUCAUGGGGUCGCUCUCCAGUCAUGCUCCUUGGGGUGUCAGCAGAGCCCCUCACUACAUACAGACAGGUUCAAGUCCACCCCACAAGAUGACCUGCCUCAGACACUGCUCUGAGCAUGACUGGACCGAUGGCGACUGAACUCUCUCAGAACAGGACUCGACUGUUACUCACAUGGUGCUCCAUGGCCCUAGCUGGGGGAGGCCGCCCUUCACAAUUCAAGACACUGACAGGAGACUCCAGGACUCGACCUGCCUGUGGCCAGUCUGAGGAGUAAAGAGGAGACCAGAAGGUCAGCUCAGAGGGGCAUCUCCAAGAACAAAGGCUCCAUGGGUGUCAAGUGAAUCUCAGACUUUUAGAUAUGAUCAUGGGCGAUUCAUACAGCUCCAAUAGGCAUCACAGACUGAAAGCCUCCCGUUCCAAUGCUAGACAUCAUCGAUCCACACAUGAGGUCCUCUCCCCAUGAUACUAUGACAUGCUCACAGUGCUCCAGUCAACACUCACAUCAUAGUGCCAUGCCCCUCAAAGGUUUUUUUUUUUUUUUGAUGGUUUUAUCAGUAAAUGAUCCCAUCUCCA